This 128-nucleotide ribosomal RNA is filed under the name Janthinobacterium sp. BJB412. Its description in RNAcentral is "partial 16S ribosomal RNA". It matches the Rfam family "Bacterial small subunit ribosomal RNA", at positions 1418 to 1533 of the family's 1533-position model. The record is from RNAcentral. Lineage: Bacteria; Pseudomonadati; Pseudomonadota; Betaproteobacteria; Burkholderiales; Oxalobacteraceae.
UACCAGAAGUAGGUAGCUUAACCGCAAGGAGGGCGCUUACCACGGUAGGAUUCGUGACUGGGGUGAAGUCGUAACAAGGUAGCCGUAUCGGAAGGUGCGGCUGGAUCACCUCCUUUCUAGAGUAGCAU